GACGAACGCUGGCGGCGUGCCUAAUACAUGCGAGUAGAACGCUGAAGCGAGGAGCUUGCUCUUCUUGGAUGAGUUGCGAACGGGUGAGUAACGCGUAGGUAACCUGCCUUGUAGCGGGGGAUAACUAUUGGAAACGAUAGCUAAUACCGCAUAACAAUGGAUGACACAUGUCAUUUAUUUGAAAGGGGCAAUUGCUGCACUACAAGAUGGACCUGCGUUGUAUUAGCUAGUAGGUGAGGUAAUGGCUCACCUAGGCGACGAUACAUAGCCGACCUGAGAGGGUGAUCGGCCACCCUGGGACUGAGACACGGCCCAGACUCCUACGGGAGGCAGCAGUAGGGCAUCUUCGGCAAUGGGGGCAACCCUGACCGAGCAACGCCGCGUGAGUGAAGAAGGUUUUCGGAUCGUAAAGCUCGGUUGUAAGUCAAGAACGGGUGUGAGAGUGGAAAGUUCACACUGUGACGGUAGCUUACCAGAAAGGGACGGCUAACUACGUG
Molecule: ribosomal RNA, 497 nt
Filed under: uncultured bacterium
Lineage: Bacteria
Description: partial 16S ribosomal RNA
Rfam family: Bacterial small subunit ribosomal RNA
Source: RNAcentral